RNAcentral lists this ribosomal RNA (253 nucleotides) under uncultured bacterium. RNAcentral describes it as "partial 16S ribosomal RNA". It matches the Rfam family "Bacterial small subunit ribosomal RNA", at positions 524 to 776 of the family's 1533-position model. The record is from RNAcentral.
CACGUAGGGGGCAAGCGUUGUCCGGAAUCAUUGGGCGUAAAGAGCGUGUAGGCGGCUCGAUAAGUCUGCUGUGAAAGUCCAGGGCUCAACCCUGGAAGGCCGGUGGAAACUGUCGGGCUAGAGUCCGGAAGAGGCGAGUGGAAUUCCCGGUGUAGCGGUGAAAUGCGCAGAUAUCGGGAGGAACACCAAUGGCGGAGGCAGCUCGCUGGGACGGUACUGACGCUGAGACGCGAAAGCGUGGGGAGCAAACAGG